Molecule: ribosomal RNA, 314 nt
Filed under: uncultured bacterium
Lineage: Bacteria
Description: bacterial SSU rRNA
Rfam family: Bacterial small subunit ribosomal RNA
Source: RNAcentral
CGGUGUGCCUCAGACAUGCAAGUCGAACGAUUAAGACUUCCUUCGGGAAGUGUAUAAAGUGGCGCACGGGUGAGUAACACGUAAGUAAUCUACCCUCGAGUGGGGAAUAACGUUCGGAAACGAACGCUAAUACCGCAUAACGCAGCGGCACCGCAAGGUGACAGUUGUUAAAGGAGUAAUUCGCUUGAGGAGGAGCUUGCGGCAGAUUAGCUAGUUGGUAAGGUAACGGCUUACCAAGGCUACGAUCUGUAUCCGGUCUAAGAGGACGGUCGGACACACUGACACUGAAUAACGGGUCAGACUCCUACGGGAGG